UGCAGUCGAACGCGAAAACUACUUCGGUAGUUAGUAGAGUGGCGAACGGGUGAGUAACACGUAAUCAAGCUACCCCCGAGACCGGAAUAACCGCGGGAAACUGCGGCUAAUGCCGGAUAGUCCAACCAGAUCGCAUGAUCUGGUUGGUAAAUGGAGGGGAUCCUUCGGGACCUUCUGCUCGGGGAGGUGAUUGCGGCCUAUCAGCUUGUUGGUGGUGUAACGGACCACCAAGGCUACGACGGGUAGCGGGCCUGAGAGGGUGGCCCGUCACACUGGGACUGAGACACUGCCCAGACUCCUACGGGAGGCUGCAGUCGAGAAUCUUCCGCAAUGGACGAAAGUCUGACGGAGCGACGCCGCGUGUAGGACGAAGGCCCUAGGGUUGUAAACUACUGUCACGGGUUAUGAAUGGGCCGGCGUUAAUAGCGCCGGUCUUGACGUAAGCUCGAGAGGAAGCACCGGCUAACUCUGUGCCAGCAGCCGCGGUAAUACAGAGGGUGCAAACGUUGUUCGGAAUUACUGGGCAUAAAGCGCACGUAGGCGGUUUGGUUAGUGUGAGGUGAAAUCCCACGGCUCACCCGUGGAAUUGCUUUGCAUACU
Molecule: ribosomal RNA, 600 nt
Filed under: uncultured bacterium
Lineage: Bacteria
Description: bacterial SSU rRNA
Rfam family: Bacterial small subunit ribosomal RNA
Source: RNAcentral